GGAGUUGUGGUUCAGUGAUAGAGUGCUCACCUAGCAUGUGUGAGGCACUGGGUUUGAGCCUCAGCAACACAU
This 72-nucleotide transfer RNA is filed under the name Marmota monax (woodchuck). Its description in RNAcentral is "tRNA.Ala". Lineage: Eukaryota; Metazoa; Chordata; Mammalia; Rodentia; Sciuridae. The record is from RNAcentral.